Molecule: ribosomal RNA, 403 nt
Filed under: uncultured bacterium
Lineage: Bacteria
Description: bacterial SSU rRNA
Rfam family: Bacterial small subunit ribosomal RNA
Source: RNAcentral
GAGUAAUAUAGUCGGAACGUGCCAGUAGGUCGGGGAUAACCGGCGAAAGUCGGACUAAUACCGCAUACGACCUACGGGUGAAAGCGGGGGAUCGCAAGACCUCGCGCUAUCGGAGCGGCCGAUAUCAGAUUAGCUUGUUGGUGGGGUAAAAGCCUACCAAGGCGACGAUCUGUAGCUGGUCUGAGAGGACGACCAGCCACACUGGGACUGAGACACGGCCCAGACUCCUACGGGAGGCAGCAGUGGGGAAUUUUGGACAAUGGGCGCAAGCCUGAUCCAGCCAUGCCGCGUGCGGGAAGAAGGCCUUCGGGUUGUAAACCGCUUUUGUCAGGGAAGAAACGGUUUGAGCUAAUACCUCGAACUAAUGACGGUACCUGAAGAAUAAGCACCGGCUAACUACGUG